GCAAACUUGGUCAUUUAGAGGAAGUAAAAGUCGUAACAAGGUCUCCGUUGGUGAACCAGCGGAGGGAUCAUUACCGAGUUUACAACUCCCAAACCCCCUGUGAACUUAUACCAUUACUGUUGCUUCGGCGGGUUAUUGCCCCGGGGAAGGACAGGCUGCCGCAAGGUGCCCUGCCGCCCCCCCGGAAACAGGCGCCCGCCGGGGGACUUAAACUCUAUAUUUUUUUCUUGUUUUAGUGUAUACUGUCUGAGUAAAAAAACAUAAUGAAUCAAAACUUUCAACAACGGAUCUCUUGGUUCUGGCAUCGAUGAAGAACGCAGC
This 321-nucleotide unclassified non-coding RNA is filed under the name uncultured fungus. RNAcentral's name for it is "partial contains small subunit ribosomal RNA, internal transcribed spacer 1, and 5.8S ribosomal RNA". The stretch from base 1 to 73 matches the Rfam family "Eukaryotic small subunit ribosomal RNA", at positions 1759 to 1831 of the family's 1831-position model. The record is from RNAcentral. Lineage: Eukaryota; Fungi.